Molecule: ribosomal RNA, 484 nt
Filed under: uncultured bacterium
Lineage: Bacteria
Description: partial 16S ribosomal RNA
Rfam family: Bacterial small subunit ribosomal RNA
Source: RNAcentral
AUUGAACGCUGGCGGCAGGCCUAACACAUGCAAGUCGAGCGGAUGAAGGGAGCUUGCUCCUGGAUUCAGCGGCGGACGGGUGAGUAAUGCCUAGGAAUCUGCCUGGUAGUGGGGGAUAACGUCCGGAAACGGGCGCUAAUACCGCAUACGUCCUGAGGGAGAAAGUGGGGGAUCUUCGGACCUCACGCUAUCAGAUGAGCCUAGGUCGGAUUAGCUAGUUGGUGGGGUAAAGGCCUACCAAGGCGACGAUCCGUAACUGGUCUGAGUGGAUGAUCAGUCACACUGGAACUGAGACACGGUCCAGACUCCUACGGGAGGGAGCAGUGGGGAAUAUUGGACAAUGGGCGAAAGCCUGAUCCAGCCAUGCCGCGUGUGUGAAGAAGGUCCUCCGAUUGUAAAGCACUUUAAGUUGGGAGGAAGGGCAGUAAGUUAAUACCUUGCUGUUUUGACGUUACCAACAGAAUAAGCACCGGCUAACUUCGUG